CAAGUCGAGGGGCAUCACGAGGUAGCAAUACUUUGGUGGCGACCGGCGCACGGGUGCGUAACGCGUAUGUAACCUACCUAUAACAGGGGCAUAACACUGAGAAAUUGGUACUAAUUCCCCAUAAUAUUCGGAGAGGCAUCUCUCCGGGUUGAAAAUUCCGAUGGUUAGAGAUGGGCAUGCGUUGGUAUUAGCUAGUUGGUGGGGUAACGGCUCACCAAGGCGACGAUACAUAGGGGGACUGAGAAGGUUAACCCCCACACUGGUACUGAGACACGGACCAGACUCC
RNAcentral lists this ribosomal RNA (286 nucleotides) under uncultured Alistipes sp. Its description in RNAcentral is "partial 16S ribosomal RNA". It matches the Rfam family "Bacterial small subunit ribosomal RNA", at positions 58 to 339 of the family's 1533-position model. The record is from RNAcentral. Lineage: Bacteria; Pseudomonadati; Bacteroidota; Bacteroidia; Bacteroidales; Rikenellaceae.